This 2171-nucleotide long non-coding RNA is filed under the name Sus scrofa (pig). RNAcentral describes it as "lncRNA (ENSSSCG00025043992.1)". Lineage: Eukaryota; Metazoa; Chordata; Mammalia; Artiodactyla; Suidae. The record is from RNAcentral.
CACAACAAUCCCAAUGUCAGCAGUGCCACGAGAUGAGACCCUCAGCCUUGAGAAACUGGAAAAGAUGAAGAGAGGAGAAAAUGAGCAGAGGGCACUGCCUGCUUAUGUCCAUGUGCUUCUUUUCCACCUCAGAAACAACACAGCAUCUUUUGUCGUCUUUGAUGCUGCCUCUCCCGUAUUGAUUACGCUUUAUUAUUCCUGAAGACUCGGGUGUGUGACGUAAGUAACCCUAUGUCGGACCCAAGCCCAGUAGGAUAAACGAAAACGGGAGGGCAAAUUGGAACAUGUACCGUAACAACGAGAGCAUUCUUUCUAUGACUUGAAAAAGUCUUCAGAUCCUUGGUUUAAUUUAAUCAGCAAUACGUUCAUCUGCAUAUGGCAUUUAGCAGCAAAGUAAACUUUUUUUCCUGAGUCAUUUGUUUCCAAAUCAGUGGGAACAAAGGAUAUCCCAGUUCCAUUCAAGCAGCUUCAAUGAUUCUCAAACAAACGUGGGAGUCAUAGCUGAGCCAUUUAAAAUAUACAGUGAUGAGAAAGCAUACUUGGUAAUCUUGUCAACAUUCCUUUAAGGAGAAUAUCCAAGUGUCCUUUUACUAUAAUAACGCUUUGUACUUUGAAAUGUUCAGAUGUCAAUAAAAUAGAAUUGAACACAACAGCCUAGAAGAAUGCCGUUUCCAAGUUUUCUAGUAAUGGUGCUGUGAAAACAGUAUGUAUUUUUCAGUUUAACACUCCGAAAAUCAAAUUUCCUCACCCCAAGAUUGGCUCCAUUUACACAAAAGCACUUUGGACCCAUAUUUAACCAACCAUCAAAAGUGAUUCAAAAGAAGGCUAAUUGAACACUGAGGUUUUUGAAGCUCUCAAAUGAUGACCCAGGUUUUUUCUUGAAAACACUCACAGCGGCAGCUUGGCAGGAAGCAGGAAUGAAACCUGCCCUCCAAACUGGAAGAAAAACUUCCAAUAACAAACUGCGAGGUUUGAGAUCACUGCAUGUUAUAUUAUUCAUUAUUCAAAUGGCCUCUAGCCCUAUUACACAGCCUUUUCUCUGGCGUCUGAGCUGCCCCAAGAAAUGUACUUUAGUAAGACCGAGCCCCCCUUUCAGAGGAAAGGAGAACCUCCUUAUCUCCGCUUUCUGCCUCCCUGUCUCUGCGUUCUAUCUGUUCUAUCUCUGUUCCAUCUGCGUGUUUUGCAAUCUCCUCAGUGUUCCAAAGGCCAAUGAAAUCUCUCUCCCACAGGGGCCAGCGAUGGCAGACCUCAACCAAAUAAAAGUUAUGCAAAGGCAAGCUGGAAAAUCUGCACAGGGGAGAUUUCACCAAGAGGAGAGGGGCCUGAUAUUUUCCGUCUAAAUCCUUAGGCCUCACUCCAGCCUACAAAGACAAGUGGCAGGAAACUUAACAGCGAUAAUCAAAUGAGCUCAGCCAGCCUCGGGAUGGUUCUUGUAAGAACUGUGUGUGUGGAGAAGGGAUGCAGGCUUUCUGCCCAGGAGAACCUAGAGAGAAAAAACUGCUCUUCCCAAAAUCCCUGAAGUCUGCUGCCAGGGGCUCAGUACAUGCCUGACCAAAAAGAGAAAACUGCCCACCUAACCGGUUCGGCUGUUUCCUGGCUACUACGGACAGAAGCAGACAGAACCUUAUCAUUUCAGUUAUGUCUAACUUGGACAUUAUUUUCAAGUAAAUAUUGGUAAUUUCAAGGCUCUUUCCUUGCCGUGUGACCUGGCGUGACGGACAAUGCUGUCUCCGAGGAAGUUGACUCCAUAGCAACAAGCCAGGGAAGCCUGCACCUUCCACCCAGGGGGCCUCCCACGAGCAUUUUGGAGACUCGGGACUUUGCAGUUAUCUUGUCAGGGGGUGGCUGAGGGAAGAAGCUUCUUCCUUUGCCCUCUGGGCCCCUCCCAGCGGUCUGGGUUUCUGUGGAUCACUCUGUGCUUCUCAAUGAAUCCAGCGCUGGGCAUUUUUCUCUUUUCAUUCAGGAAGUGGUGAGCUGAGCCCUGAGAUUCUUUCUGCUCCGAUGAUAUAAACAAAUUGUAGAGGAAGUCAAGUCAAAUUUUCCCUUGCUGGUUUUGUUCUCCCAACUAGCAAUUCAGAAAACAGAGCCAACUUUUUUUUUUUUUUUUUUUUUUUUUUUUUGGAUGCCCUUUAAAGAUUGCUGUUAACUGGAAAGACAAGAAACCCUUGUAG